This 253-nucleotide ribosomal RNA is filed under the name uncultured bacterium. RNAcentral's name for it is "partial 16S ribosomal RNA". It matches the Rfam family "Archaeal small subunit ribosomal RNA", at positions 474 to 727 of the family's 1478-position model. The record is from RNAcentral.
AACCAGCACCUCAAGUGGUCAGGAUGAUUAUUGGGCCUAAAGCAUCCGUAGCCUGGUGCAUAAGUUUUCGGUUAAAUCCAUAUGCUCAACAUAUGGGCUGCCGGGAAUACUGUGCACCUAGGGAGUGGGAGAGGUAGACGGUACUCGGUAGGAAGGGGUAAAAUCCUUUGAUCUAUUGAUGACCACCUGUGGCGAAGGCGGUCUACCAGAACACGUCCGACGGUGAGGGAUGAAAGCUGGGGGAGCAAACCGG